RNAcentral lists this ribosomal RNA (114 nucleotides) under Periophthalmus magnuspinnatus. The record is from RNAcentral. Lineage: Eukaryota; Metazoa; Chordata; Actinopteri; Gobiiformes; Gobiidae.
AGAUGUGACCAGACCAGGAUGAGAAUGAUCUCGUCAGAUCUUGGAAGCUAAGAAGGGCUGGUUUGGCUAGUACUUGGAUGGGAGACUGCUGGGAAUACCUGCCAGCUCCAGCAA